This 433-nucleotide ribosomal RNA is filed under the name uncultured bacterium. RNAcentral's name for it is "partial 16S ribosomal RNA". It matches the Rfam family "Bacterial small subunit ribosomal RNA", at positions 29 to 507 of the family's 1533-position model. The record is from RNAcentral.
AACGAACGCUGGCGGCAUGCCUAACACAUGCAAGUCGAACGAGACCUUCGGGUCUAGUGGCGCACGGGUGCGUAACGCGUGGGAACCUGCCCUUAGGUUCGGAAUAACUCCCCGAAAGGGGUGCUAAUACCGGAUAAUGUCUUCGGAUCAAAGAUUUAUCGCCUUUGGAUGGGCCCGCGUUGGAUUAGCUAGUUGGUAGGGUAAAAGCCUACCAAGGCGACGAUCCAUAGCUGGUCUGAGAGGAUGAUCAGCCACACUGGGACUGAGACACGGCCCAGACUCCUACGGGAGGCAGCAGUGGGGAAUAUUGGACAAGGGGCGAAAGCCUGAUCCAGCAAUGCCGCGUGAGUGAUGAAGGCCUUAGGGUUGUAAAGCUCUUUUACCCGGGAUGAUAAUGACAGUACCGGGAGAAUAAGCUCCGGCUAACUCCGUG